Molecule: transfer RNA, 86 nt
Filed under: Oreochromis niloticus (Nile tilapia)
Lineage: Eukaryota; Metazoa; Chordata; Actinopteri; Cichliformes; Cichlidae
Rfam family: tRNA
About the family: Transfer RNA (tRNA) molecules are approximately 80 nucleotides in length. Their secondary structure includes four short double-helical elements and three loops (D, anti-codon, and T loops).
Source: Rfam by way of RNAcentral
CCUUCGAUAGCUCAGUUGGUAGAGCGGAGGACUGUAGUGGCUUCCCAGGCAUCCUUAGGUCGCUGGUUCGAAUCCGGCUCGAAGGA